AAAACAUGCUGCUCCUCACUCUCAGCCACGUAUAUCCACACACAGUUAAACCCACGGCUGUACAAAUUAAUGCAGGCUACCCAAAGCCUCUCAUAAGUCUCUGGCAUGUGCAGAGCCAGUCUGUAGAGCGGUGGGUUUCCUCUUGGACCCCCGGAGUUGGUAGGACGGGGAAGGCGGCAGGGGACCGAGCAGUGGAGCUGCUGACUCCGUGGGGCUGAGUGGCUCUGGCCCUGCACCAGGGAAGGGGUUAAACUCCUCUGCUGUAAGCAGAUAAAGGAAGGAACAGAAUCCGGCUGGCCUGGUCUGCACUCCAUACCGAGGUGUCCAUUUCAUCUCAAAGGUCUUUCCUGGCUUCCUUUUAAUUGAAAUUCUUCACCCAAGUCUCACAUUCCUGAUUCUUUCCACUGCAAAGCCAUCAAAACCUUCCAGGAGGCUCCUAGUUUUCCUUGCAAUUCAAUAUGAUUGAUACAGGAUGUGAAAGAUCACUGGAUGUUAUCAACUACAGAUUCUCUCUCCUUGAAGCAGCAAGCUACAGGAUAAAUUGUGGAAUUCACUACUGCACCGCAUUAUUGAAGAAAAUAUUGUAUUUUGAAGAAAGUGCUCUCAAUUGUAAUCACCAAAUGAAAGCUUCCUGUGUGAUGUGCUGUGAGGCAUGAGAGGACUGGGGUCAGUGAGGAGUCUUCCUUGGUCCUUCUGUUUUCCUGUCCUAGAGCAGCAUGGUGCUGGGAGUAUUGCAGAGCCUUCAUCCCUUGGCAAGUCUCACCCCAUCAGACCCGUUACCAAGCUGCUAGUCAUCCAUCUUUAUGAAGCAGGAGCUCAGACACUACAGAAGAUGGACCGUGGAUGCAUUUACAAUUAUAAAGUCUUAGAUGGACUGUGCAAAAUGAGAUGGGACAGGGAGUGACCACUACUAGACACCAGGCCUCACUGGAGUGACAAUUAAUUCAGAGCACCAAGAGAGAGGGAAAUAUCUGACUGGCUGGAGCGGUGGUCUGAUGUGACAUGGCAGGAAGCAUGAUACUAAUGCAAAUCGUUAGUACUUAUUAACUAAUUAAAUUGUUGUAAUGCCCAUAAGGCACUUAACACUUUCCAGGCGCAGAAGAGAGCCCAGUCUCUGCCCUUAGGAGUAGAAGGUCUAAAAAGGUAAACACAGAGGAAUGGUGGAAGAAAAACAAUUAACAUAGAGCACAAAGGGUGUAAUGAGAAGAAGCGCAGGGCUUUGCAGUUACAAUCUAUGUCUGGUUUUGUGAAGAAAGAAAGCCUAUGUGAUUACAAGAACUUUGUGUAUGGGGGAGCAUGCGUGUAUGAUAAUAUGUCUGUCUGGUGCGUGGAUAAUUUUCAACUUCAAGCAAAUUUGAUGGAGGAGAAGCUGUCUCAGAAAUACUUAGUUGUUAAAAUGAGAAGCUGAGGGAAGGGAAG
RNAcentral lists this long non-coding RNA (1419 nucleotides) under Gallus gallus (chicken). RNAcentral's name for it is "lncRNA (ENSGALG00010007238.1)". Lineage: Eukaryota; Metazoa; Chordata; Aves; Galliformes; Phasianidae. The record is from RNAcentral.